This is a non-coding RNA of Pteropus alecto (black flying fox), 74 nucleotides long. The record is from Rfam. Lineage: Eukaryota; Metazoa; Chordata; Mammalia; Chiroptera; Pteropodidae.
GGCUCCAUAGUGUACUGGUUAGCACGUCUGCUUUACACACAAAAGGUCCUGGGUUCAUGCCACAGGUGGAGCCA